GUCAACGAUCAUAUCAUGUAAAAAACACCAGUUCUCGUCCGAUCACUGAAGUUAGGCUGCAUUGAGCGCGGUUAGUUGUCGUCGGCA
This 87-nucleotide ribosomal RNA is filed under the name Mayetiola destructor (Hessian fly). Lineage: Eukaryota; Metazoa; Arthropoda; Insecta; Diptera; Cecidomyiidae. The record is from RNAcentral.